UACGUAGGGGGCGAGCGUUGUCCGGAUUUACUGGGCGUAAAGCGCGUGUAGGCGGGAGAUUAAGUUGGGUGUGAAAGCCCGGGGCUCAACCCCGGGAUGCCGCCCAAGACUGGUCUCCUUGAGGACGGAAGAGGGGAGUGGAAUUCCUGGUGUAGCGGUGAAAUGCGUAGAGAUCAGGAGGAACACCCGUGGCGAAGGCGGCUCCCUGGUCCGUUUCUGACGCUGAGACGCGAAAGCGCGGGGAGCAAACGGG
Molecule: ribosomal RNA, 253 nt
Filed under: uncultured bacterium
Lineage: Bacteria
Description: partial 16S ribosomal RNA
Rfam family: Bacterial small subunit ribosomal RNA
Source: RNAcentral